UGGCUCAGAUGGUAAAGAAUCUGCCUGCAAUGCAGGAGACCCAGGUUUGAUUCCUGG
Transfer RNA from Ovis aries (sheep), 57 nucleotides. It matches the Rfam family "tRNA", at positions 8 to 63 of the family's 71-position model. Rfam says of the family: Transfer RNA (tRNA) molecules are approximately 80 nucleotides in length. Their secondary structure includes four short double-helical elements and three loops (D, anti-codon, and T loops). Lineage: Eukaryota; Metazoa; Chordata; Mammalia; Artiodactyla; Bovidae. The record is from Rfam.